Molecule: ribosomal RNA, 373 nt
Filed under: uncultured bacterium
Lineage: Bacteria
Description: bacterial SSU rRNA
Rfam family: Bacterial small subunit ribosomal RNA
Source: RNAcentral
GGAGGGGGCGAGCGUUAUUCGGAAUUAUUGGGCGUAAAGGGCGCGUAGGCGGCUUGACAAGUCAAAGGUGAAAUCCCUCGGCUCAACUGAGGAACUGCCUUUGAAACUGUCUGGCUUGAGUCCGGGAGGGGGUAGCGGAAUUCCCAGUGUAGCGGUGAAAUGCGUAGAUAUUGGGAGGAACACCAGUGGCGAAGGCGGCUACCUGGACCGGAACUGACGCUGAUGCGCGAAAGCGUGGGUAGCAAACAGGAUUAGAUACCCUGGUAGUCCACGCUGUAAACGAUGGGUGCUCGGUGUCGCGGGUAUCGACCCCUGCGGUGCCUUAGCCAACGCGUUAAGCACCCCGCCUGGGGAGUACGGUCGCAAGGCUGAA